GAUGAACGCUGGCGGCGUGCCUAAUACAUGCAAGUCGAGCGAACAGAUGAGAAGCUUGCUUCUCUGAUGUUAGCGGCGGACGGGUGAGUAACACGUGGGUAACCUACCUAUAAGACUGGGAUAACUCCGGGAAACCGGGGCUAAUACCGGAUAAUAUUUUGAACCGCAUGGUUCGAUAGUGAAAGACGGUUUCGGCUGUCACUUAUAGAUGGACCCGCGCCGUAUUAGCUAGUUGGUAAGGUAACGGCUUACCAAGGCGACGAUACGUAGCCGAACUGGGAGGGUGAUCGGCCGCACUGGAACUGAGACACGGUCCAGACUCCUACGGGAGGCAGCAGUAGGGAAUCUUCCGUAAUGGGCGAAAGCCUGACGGAGCAACGCCGCGUGAGUGAUGAAGGUCUUCGGAUCGUAAAACUCUGUUGUUAGGGAAGAACAAAUUUGUUAGUAACUGAACAAGUCUUGACGGUACCUAACCAGAAAGCCACGGCUAACUACGUGCCAGCAGCCGCGGUAA
RNAcentral lists this ribosomal RNA (514 nucleotides) under uncultured bacterium. RNAcentral's name for it is "partial 16S ribosomal RNA". It matches the Rfam family "Bacterial small subunit ribosomal RNA", at positions 28 to 523 of the family's 1533-position model. The record is from RNAcentral.